CAGUCGAACGAGAGACCUUCGGGUCUCUAGUGGCGAACGGGUGAGUAACACGUAGGGAACCUGCCCGCGCACCGGGAAUACGCUCUGGAAACGGAGAACAAAUCCCGAUGUACAGGAAGGAGGCAUCUUCUUUCUGUGAAACAUCCUUUCGGGGAUGGGGCGCGGAUGGACCUGCGGUGCAUUAGUUGGUUGGCGGGGUAAAGGCCCACCAAGACGAUGAUGCAUAGCCGGCCUGAGAGGGCGGACGGCCACAUUGGGACUGAGACACGGCCCAGACUCCUGCGGGAGGCAGCAGUAGGGAAUUUUCGUCAAUGGGCGCAAGCCUGAACGAGCGAUGCCGCGUGAGUGAAGAAGGCCUUCGGGUCGUAAAGCUCUGUUGCGGGGGAAAAAAGGCAGCAUCAGGAAAUGGGUGCUGACUGAUGGUGCCCCGCCAGAAAGUCACGGCUAACUACGUGCCAGCAGCCGCGGUAAUACGUAGGUGGCGAGCGUUAUCCGGAAUGAUUGGGCGUAAAGGGUGCGCAGGCGGUCCUGCAAGUCUGGAGUGAAACGCAUGAGCUCAACUCAUGCAUGGCCUUGGAAACUGGAGGACUGGAGAGCAGGAGAGGGCGGUGGAACUCCAUGUGUAGCGGUAAAAUGCGUAGAUAUAUGGAAGAACACCAGUGGCGAAGGCGGCCGCCUGGCCUGUUGCUGACGCUGAGGCACGAAAGCGUGGGGAG
This 716-nucleotide ribosomal RNA is filed under the name uncultured bacterium. RNAcentral describes it as "bacterial SSU rRNA". It matches the Rfam family "Bacterial small subunit ribosomal RNA", at positions 59 to 768 of the family's 1533-position model. The record is from RNAcentral.